UCUCUCUCUCUCUCACGAUUUUGGGUUUUAAUCACUUUCUUUUGUUUUGGCCCAAAGUUGAGAAUUUGGAUUUGUCUGCUUGAUUAAUAGUUUUGGGGAUCAUUAGUUCACUGGUCAAAGCUUCUUUUUUUUUUUUGUUGCAUUGCACCAAACAGGGGAAAGAAUCAUCUGGGUCCAAGUUUCUUAGCGUAGGUUCUUUAUUAGCUUGACUGAGAAACUUGCAGUAGAGAGUAAAAAGCUAAGCUUUUGGCUUCUCUAGAGGUUGAUAAGGAUAAUAGGCGUUGCUGGUUCCAGUAAGUGUUUUUUGUUGAAUAUUAUCCACUAAUUAUAAGUGAGAACAGUAAUUAGUGGUGAUUCCGUUUCUAUUCUUCUUUCUUUAUUGGCUAACUGAGUGGCUCAAAAUGGAAAAUAUUACUGUAUAUUAAAGCAAGAAGUUUCCUUGAUUUUCGUAUAACUUCUGUUGUGUACAUUUGUAUUUGCUGCAAUGGUUACUAACCAUACAGGAGUAAGGGUGUUUUUGGCUGGUAUCAAAUUGUAACCAUGGUGAAAUAGAUAGCCAUGUACUCAAAACACCAUUGAUGCCCCUCGAUGGAGUAGUAGGAUUCAGUGGUGCUAGGCUUGCUCUUUAGCAAGUUGAAUUAGUUAAGAUGUGUCAUUAUCAACCAUGGGAAGAUGAUUCACCUCCAACCGAAGAUCAUGCACAAAGCACCAGAAAUGGCUCAGACCCUGUAGUAGCUGGGUGGCAUUCAUGGGAAACCAGAAUAGCAAUGUUAGAGGCAAGAAUAGCAAGGGCCGAGGCUCGACUGGAUGGACUGGAAGCAAGGAUGUUGUAUCAGCAAAAGGCACUGCACGUCACAUUUGUGCUGUUUUUAGUUACUCUUAUAUAUGCCAUAUGGAAAUGAAUGUUAAGGAUGAUAAACUGUUGCAGCUGCAGUGUUGUACUGCUUGACUUAGGACGAUCAUAGCUGACCAUCUGAUGCAUUUUUUACUGUAGAAUUUAAUCGGAAUCUAACAAGGGGGGAACUAACUGCUGAAAUAUUAUCAAGUAGUUGCAUAAUAUUGCUAUUCUUGGCCUGUCUA
Molecule: small RNA, 1080 nt
Filed under: Theobroma cacao (cacao)
Lineage: Eukaryota; Viridiplantae; Streptophyta; Magnoliopsida; Malvales; Malvaceae
Description: sRNA Tc08v2_g015170
Source: RNAcentral